GUGGGGAAUAUUAGGCAAUGGGCGAAAGCCUGACCUAGCAACGCCGCGUGAAGGAAGAAGGCCUUCGGGUUGUAAACUUCUUUUAUGAGGGACGAAGGACGUGACGGUACCUCAUGAAUAAGCCACGGCUAACUACGUGCCAGCAGCCGCGGUAAUACGUAGGUGGCGAGCGUUGUCCGGAUUUACUGGGUGUAAAGGGCGCGUAGGCGGACUGGCAAGUCAGAUGUGAAAUACAGGGGCUCAACCCCUGAACUGCAUUUGAAACUGUUGGUCUUGAGUAUCGGAGAGGCAAGCGGAAUUCCUAGUGUAGCGGUGAAAUGUGUAGAUAUUAGGAGGAACACCAGUGGCGAAGGCGGCUUGCUGGACGACAACUGACGCUGAGGCGCGAAAGCGUGGGGAGCAAACAGGAUUAGAUACCCUAGUAGUCC
Molecule: ribosomal RNA, 428 nt
Filed under: uncultured bacterium
Lineage: Bacteria
Description: partial 16S ribosomal RNA
Rfam family: Bacterial small subunit ribosomal RNA
Source: RNAcentral